Molecule: non-coding RNA, 73 nt
Organism: Trichonephila inaurata madagascariensis
Lineage: Eukaryota; Metazoa; Arthropoda; Arachnida; Araneae; Nephilidae
Source: the annotation of a GenBank genome assembly
GUCCCUGUCACGCAAUUGGUAGCGCGUUGAACUUCUUAUCCAAAGAUCGUGGUUUCGAAUCCCACCUGGGAUG